This 253-nucleotide ribosomal RNA is filed under the name uncultured bacterium. RNAcentral's name for it is "partial 16S ribosomal RNA". It matches the Rfam family "Bacterial small subunit ribosomal RNA", at positions 524 to 776 of the family's 1533-position model. The record is from RNAcentral.
UACGUAGGGUGCGAGCGUUAAUCGGAAUUACUGGGCGUAAAGCGUACGCAGGCGGCUUUGCAAGACAGAUGUGAAAUCCCCGGGCUCAACCUGGGAACUGCAUUUGUGACUGCAAGGCUAGAGUACGGCAGAGGGGGAUGGAAUUCCGCGUGUAGCAGUGAAAUGCGUAGAUAUGCGGAGGAACACCAAUGGCGAAGGCAAUCCCCUGGGCCUGUACUGACGCUCAUGCACGAAAGCGUGGGGAGCAAACAGG